RNAcentral lists this transfer RNA (140 nucleotides) under Cadophora sp. DSE1049. RNAcentral's name for it is "tRNA-Trp". Lineage: Eukaryota; Fungi; Ascomycota; Leotiomycetes; Helotiales; Ploettnerulaceae. The record is from RNAcentral.
GGACCGCUGGCGCAACGGCAGCGCGUUCGAUUCCAGAUCUUCGUACAAAAUCGAAAGGUUAUGAAAAUAUAUCUUCAAUUUCAGAUCGAAUGGUUAUGAUAAUAAUCGAAAGGUUAUCCGUUCAAAUCGGGUGUGGUUCA